This 441-nucleotide ribosomal RNA is filed under the name Clostridioides difficile. Its description in RNAcentral is "bacterial SSU rRNA". It matches the Rfam family "Bacterial small subunit ribosomal RNA", at positions 210 to 669 of the family's 1533-position model. The record is from RNAcentral. Lineage: Bacteria; Bacillati; Bacillota; Clostridia; Peptostreptococcales; Peptostreptococcaceae.
GUGAGCCAGUACAGGAUGGACCCGCGUCUGAUUAGCUAGUUGGUAAGGUAACGGCUUACCAAGGCGACGAUCAGUAGCCGACCUGAGAGGGUGAUCGGCCACAUUGGAACUGAGACACGGUCCAAACUCCUACGGGAGGCAGCAGUGGGGAAUAUUGCACAAUGGGCGAAAGCCUGAUGCAGCAACGCCGCGGGAGUGAUGAAGGCCUUCGGGUCGUAAAACUCUGUCCUCACGGAAGAUAAUGACGGUAAUUGAGGAGGAAGCCCCGGCUAACUACGUGCCAGCAGCCGCGGUAAGACGUAGGGGGCGAGCGGUAUCCGGAUUUACUGGGCGUAAAGGGUGCGGAGGGGGUCGUUGAAGUCAGGGGUGCAGGGCUGCGGCGCAACCGUAGUAAGCUCUUGAAACUGGGAGACUUGAGUGCAGGAGAGGAGAGUGGAAUUC